Molecule: ribosomal RNA, 511 nt
Filed under: uncultured Fusarium
Lineage: Eukaryota; Fungi; Ascomycota; Sordariomycetes; Hypocreales; Nectriaceae
Description: eukaryotic LSU rRNA
Rfam family: 5.8S ribosomal RNA (bases 162-315)
Source: RNAcentral
GGAGGGAUCAUUACCGAGUUUACAACUCCCAAACCCCUGUGAACAUACCACUUGUUGCCUCGGCGGAUCAGCCCGCUCCCGGUAAAACGGGACGGCCCGCCAGAGGACCCCUAAACUCUGUUUCUAUAUGUAACUUCUGAGUAAAACCAUAAAUAAAUCAAAACUUUCAACAACGGAUCUCUUGGUUCUGGCAUCGAUGAAGAACGCAGCAAAAUGCGAUAAGUAAUGUGAAUUGCAGAAUUCAGUGAAUCAUCGAAUCUUUGAACGCACAUUGCGCCCGCCAGUAUUCUGGCGGGCAUGCCUGUUCGAGCGUCAUUUCAACCCUCAAGCACAGCUUGGUGUUGGGACUCGCGUUAAUUCGCGUUCCUCAAAUUGAUUGGCGGUCACGUCGAGCUUCCAUAGCGUAGUAGUAAAACCCUCGUUACUGGUAAUCGUCGCGGCCACGCCGUUAAACCCCAACUUCUGAAUGUUGACCUCGGAUCAGGUAGGAAUACCCGCUGAACUUAAGCAU